UCAAACAUUCAAUGUCAGUAUUUUUUCUCUUUACUGCACAAUCAGAAGCAAGAUCUUAACAAUCCAUCAAAACUCAUUCCAAAAACAGCAUCAAUGUAAAUGGAUUAUAAGCAAACAUCAAACACAAUUUACAAGAUAUCAAGAUUUAAAAAAUCCCCUUAAACAAACAGAAACCACCUCCGAUCCUAUCCCUACUUCAAAAACAUCUUCCAUUUGACAGACAGGAAAGAUAAACACGCAAAAAAAAUCUCCUAUUUAUUUACUUAUGAAUAACCAGUAAACAUUUGACAGACAGGAAAGAUAAACACGCAAAAAAAAUCUCCUAUUUAUUUACUUAUGAAUAACCAGUAAACACCAAAACCACCUCCAAAC
RNAcentral lists this long non-coding RNA (372 nucleotides) under Lathyrus oleraceus (garden pea). RNAcentral's name for it is "Pisum sativum (pea) long non-coding RNA (PSAT_LNC004153)". The record is from RNAcentral. Lineage: Eukaryota; Viridiplantae; Streptophyta; Magnoliopsida; Fabales; Fabaceae.